GGGUAUACAAUAUUGUAUCAAUUGGCUUUAGUCUAAGUGGAGUUAUUGGGAGUUAUAUCCCAAAGUCAAUCAUCAGUCUGUUGAUGGUUAUGCUCAUAAAUAUAAAUUAUAUAUGAAUUAUAAUUAAUAAAUAUUAUUUAAUUUUUUCAUCACUUUGUGUACAUCUUCUUGUUGAACUCUUGUGUUAUGAUGAAGUCUUUAGUGUUAGAAAAUGCUACAGUUUCGUACG
Molecule: long non-coding RNA, 229 nt
Filed under: Elaeis guineensis (African oil palm)
Lineage: Eukaryota; Viridiplantae; Streptophyta; Magnoliopsida; Arecales; Arecaceae
Description: long non-coding RNA (EGUI_LNC067776)
Source: RNAcentral